CUUCAACGCGCCACUCCCUCCCCCACCACUCCGUGCCACGCCCGCUCUCCACGCCCUGCCCCCGUGGGAAUGUGCAAUGGGGCGGGCAGCGCGCCUUGAGGCUGGCGCCCUGGUAGGGGUGGGCUGACCAGCCUGAUGGGGGCUGAGACUGCCUGGAACCCAAACGGAAGCUCCCUGGCCUAUGUUUGAAACCGUGAAUUCACCGGCUAGAAUGGAAAUGCCAGGCUCACUUCAGAGUGCCCCUUGGACCCUGCCUGGCUGAACCAUCCACACCUUGGUCAGGCAUCUUGGAAGGACUGCCCCAGCCGUGUUAUAAAAGGAGAAAACGUCACAGUGGGCAGCCCCAUUCCUGCGUUAUCCAGACAGGAAACUCAGGUGCUCAGUUUCUCUGAUAAUUCCGAGUUCUACAUUACUACCUGCCUCUCAGAUGAGUGCUGGCAGCCCCAGUUCUGUACAGGGAGGAUGCAAAACGGCAGAAUAUCUGUGGUGCAACUUUCUGGAGCAUCAGUUUACUACAAGAUUUGGAAGAAUAAGUUAAGUAAUUUCCAAGGUGCUGGAGAUAGUCCUGAACAGCACAGCUUAGGGUCCUGUGCCAUGAAGGAGCCUACACACUAGUCCUGGGAGAUGAGACAAGCAACAAGCAAGUAAAUCCUGGAAAGAUCAAGGUCACUUCAGAUGGUGAUGAAGCAGAGUCAUGUGAUUGAGAGAGCCCACAGGUCUGGGUGGGCCAUGGUCACCCUGGUUUAGAUUGGCUGGUCGGGGUAGGUCUCCCUAAGGAGGUAAGAUUCGAGUUUUCCAGGUAGGAGGUACACAGGAAGAAUGAAACCGUGAGGGUGGGAGCCCAUCUGAGUGCUGUGGCUGCCAGCCUGGAAAAGUGACUGAUGGGGAGAAAGGUAUCAGGUGAGUUCAGAGAGGGGGCCGAGGCCAGAUCACUUGCCUAACACUUUUAGCAUCUAAAUGUCAACAUAGGCACUUAAAGAUCACAAUCUGGGGGCCGGCCCUGUAGCUUAGUGGUGCAGUUCGGCAUGCUCUCCUUUGGUGGCCCAGACUUGGUUCCUGGGUGUCGAUUUACACCACUCAUCAGCCAUGCUGUGCUGGUGACCCACAUACGAAAUAGAGGAAGAUUGGCAACAGAUAUUGGCUCAGGGUGAAUCUUCCUCAGCAAAAACAAAAAAGCAAAUCACAAUCUGUUUUCAAAACUAUAAAGCAAAGUUGAGGUCUAUCCCAGUGGGGUGUUUUCUGUAGACCUACAUUGUUGGAAAUGCCUCAUAGAGUAAUUACGUGGUUUCCUUUACUCACAGAACUAUGUGUUAGAUCUGUGGGAAAGAAGUACAACACAGAGCUGCUAAAACUAUGAAAGACUUAAUGGGUAUACAAUACUGAGAACCAGUUAGAUCCAUCGACUCUGACCCUAAAUGUGGCCCUAAGGUAAACUGGUUGAAGAAAUUGGAUCCUAAAGAUUACAGGUGGAGAAUUUUUAAAGGAUGUCCAUAUUCGAGGGAAGACCAAAGAAUCCCAACUGAAAGAAUUGUGAACUGACUGACAUGAUAGCCACGGAUUGAGCACAAUUUCUUUUUAAAAGGGCUGUCUUGAAGAUUAUGACUCAAACUUUGGAGGAACUAAGGAGGAGAGGAGCCCAUUUCCUUAGUUUCCCUCAAAUGCACUCCCCCAGCAAGUCUAUGUAAUUGUGAUAGACUGGUUAUUUGUGGAAAGAAACAGAAGUUUUAUUGCAUCUGCUUCAAACUUCAUAACGGUCAUCUCUGUUCCAACUGACAUUGGCCAUGCCCGCCUGGGGGUCAGCUGUCCACACUGUCCUCGUGGCCUUCAGCGCUGCUGCACUCUCUCUGACUCCUUCUUUCCUCUCUCUCCACCACCUUGGCCCCCAUCUUGGGGUUGUCACAGGAAGCUCCAGAUCAACCGUGCCCACGGCUGCCAUGUCACAGGAGCACCUUAAGGUUUCUCCUUAAGUGAUAUUUCUGUCUUGACAGGAAUUCUGCUGUUGGAUUAAAUUGUAUUCUCCUUGCCUUAUGAACUAUGAAGACUUUCUUGCAAGAUGUCGCUAAUUUAUUUUUCCUUUAGGCAAUAACUCUGCAGUGUGCCAUGCAUGUCACACACACACACUUUCAGAGAAAAUGUGUUCUAUAA
Equus caballus (horse) is the source of this 2145-nucleotide long non-coding RNA. NCBI's taxonomy places the organism in Eukaryota, Metazoa, Chordata, Mammalia, Perissodactyla, Equidae. The record is from Ensembl.